AUUGAACGCUGGCGGCAGGCCUAACACAUGCAAGUCGAGCGAGCGGCGGACGGGUGAGUAAUGUCUGGGAAACUGCCUGAUGGAGGGGGAUAACUACUGGAAACGGUAGCUAAUACCGCAUACCAUCGGAUGUGCCCAGAUGGGAUUAGCUUGUAGGUGAGGUAACGGCUCACCUAGGCGACGAUCCCUAGCUGGUCUGCUAGUAUGACCAUCCACACUGGAACGGAGACACGGUCAAGAGUACUACGAGAGGCAGCAGUGGGGAAUAUUGCACAAUGGGCGCAAGCGUGAUGCAGCCAUUCCGCGUGUAUGAAGAAGGCCUUCGGGUUGUAAAGUACUUUCAGCGGGGAGGCGUUACUCGCAGAAGAAGCACCGGCUAACUCCGUGCCAGCAGCCGCGGGAAUUC
This 406-nucleotide ribosomal RNA is filed under the name uncultured bacterium. RNAcentral describes it as "partial 16S ribosomal RNA". It matches the Rfam family "Bacterial small subunit ribosomal RNA", at positions 30 to 526 of the family's 1533-position model. The record is from RNAcentral.